Molecule: ribosomal RNA, 207 nt
Filed under: uncultured bacterium
Lineage: Bacteria
Description: partial 16S ribosomal RNA
Rfam family: Bacterial small subunit ribosomal RNA
Source: RNAcentral
UCGGAUUGAAGGCUGAAAUUCGCCUUCAUGAAGCUGGAAUUGCUAGUAAUGGCAGGUCAGCAUACUGCCGUGAAUACGUUCCCGGGCCUUGUACACACCGCCCGUCACACCAUGAGAGUUGGGAAUACCCGAAGCCUGUGAGCUAACUUAUAGAGGCAGCAGUCGAAGGUAGAAUCAAUGAUUGGGGUGAAGUCGUAACAAGGUAGC